GGAUUGCUAGCUCAAUCGGUAGAGCAGUGGCCUCUUAAGCCAUUGGUUCUGGGUUCGAGUCCCAGGCAAUCCACCA
Molecule: transfer RNA, 76 nt
Filed under: bacterium ADurb.Bin400
Lineage: Bacteria
Description: tRNA-Lys
Rfam family: tRNA
About the family: Transfer RNA (tRNA) molecules are approximately 80 nucleotides in length.
Source: RNAcentral